AGAAACCACACCCUCACAAAAAUGUAAACUUCAUCUCACUUGCUGUUCACCCAAGCCGUCAAGCCUCAACUCCGACAAGCUUUAGUCCACCGAGCCUCACCGCCGUCAAGCUUCACUCCGCCGAUCCUCACCUCCAUUGAGCCUCACUCUGCCGUUCCUCACCUCCACCGAUCCUCACACCGAGUCACACCUCUCCACCGUUCCCUUGCAUGUCCGCCGAUCCACACCGCCGCCGAGCUAGACCACCAUCUCACCACUCAAGAGCCUCCACCCGUUCCGAUCACCGAUCAACAAGUCCUCUGACAUUCUCGCCGUCUUUGAUGCUAACGGACGCCUAAUUGAUUUCCUUAAUAUAGGAAGUCCUUUUGACGCCAUGAUUUGCAAUAGAUAAAUGCUAAUCAUGUAGUUCAUCCUUUUAAUGUAAAGUAUGAAUUGGGGUGGUAGGCCUACUGCUGACACAAGGUUAAAUACUCAUUGUUUGUGAAACUUUGGAUUUUUUCUUAAAGGUGUACGCUUAGCUUGAGCAUAGUAAGUAAAAUUUGUUUAAAUACAUAAAAAACUCUAUAUUUGUAAUGUUGAUGAUUGGCUUUGUGGUGGGUUGUUAUAUUGAAGCAAGCAGAUGGCUUGCAUGGAGUUAUAAGGUGGUUUAAAUUCACAUUGAGAGUGUUUUUAUUUUUUGAAUUGUGAAUGGAUAUUGUUGAUAUAUAUGUUAUGAAUAUUAUUUAAUUAUUUUUAAUACUUGUAGCAUUAUAUAUUGUGAAGUUGAUAAUGGGUUUUUAAUACUUGGCAUGAGACCUUCCUCUUCUCUAGUAACCACCGCCUCAUCUAGUUCCUCGGUGGAAUAUAUCCAUCGUCUAGAAAGUGAGAUACUUGAACUCAAAGAGGCAAGAGCUAGGGACCAAGAGGCACGAGCUAAGCAAGAAGAGGUCCAAAAGAAUAUUCUUAGCUUUUUGAGAAACAAGGGUUAGAUAACGCUCUUACCUAUGGGGGUAGUUCAACUUUACGAUUUUAAUGUAAUAUUGUUUUUAUUUUUGUACAGAUUUCUUAUUGGUGGCUUUUAGAGGAUUUACUUUUGGCAUUACUUGAAGACACGAGGACAUCUUCCAUUAGUUCUAAUUAUAUUAUACUACACUUUUUGUAUUGUUAUAAAACAUCUUGAGUUAUUGUAUGUGUUGUAAACAAUUAUUGUAUGGAAGGAGUUUGAAUUGAAUACUUGUUUUA
Molecule: long non-coding RNA, 1221 nt
Organism: Quercus robur (English oak)
Lineage: Eukaryota; Viridiplantae; Streptophyta; Magnoliopsida; Fagales; Fagaceae
Exons: 3
Source: RefSeq, a predicted model, not a curated record